UCUAGUGGCAGGAAGAAAUGCGUCCUGGAAGACGCGCCCGGAGGUGCUGAGUCAGCGCUACCAGAAGCUCUCUGGCUGCGGCUGCGCAGCAGAUCUAGGGACACUCCCUAGGUUUGACGGAGAAGGCUCUUUGCUGGUCCCAAACACUUACUUGAGUCCUGAUAAUUCUCACCAUCAAGGAUUUGAAUUCUCCAUCUAAAAUAAUUUUAUGUAAGUCAGCUCUACUUCUACUUAAUAAGGGCAUUUGACAAGGGAGGAUUUGGAAGCAGCGCAUAAUACAAGCGGGACGUCUGCAGCACGCAACUCCAAGACCCAAGACUGUGCUCCGACACCGCAGCUGACGGGGAAGGCCGCUCAGGUCCCACCGAGUCUGGGGCAACCAGCAGAAAUGCACCGAUAACCCCGUCUGCUCAGGAAGAUCAUGAGAGAAGAGGAUGAGCCACAUGUGAAGGUCCAAGUCUAAUGAGGACCAAACCGACCGCAGCAGCACUGACCAGAGACCGCGUGGGAGCCUGCUGCUGUUUGAGGCCCUCGGGCUGUGCUGUCACGCUAGUCCCAGCCGCUGCCUCCUGCCUGGGCUGCCAGCUCAGGCCUUCAACCCGAACUCCGUUCUGCCCACUGCUGGCCCGCCUUUACCCGGCCUGGAUCCUCUGCCUGCCCUACCCCAAACCAGAACGACCACUCUUGAGAGCCAGCUGCACGGCACUGUUCCGAGCACCCUCUUUCUAUUAGUGCAUUCAGUCUUCCCGAUGGCUUCGUGAAGUAGGUGCACUCUUAAAAUUUUACAAAUAGGGAAUGAGAGACAGGGAGAUGUUUGGUAACUUGCCCAAGGCCACGCUGCUGAUUAGCAGGUAGGAGCCCGGCCUCCGGCUGCAGAAGCAAGACUUGCGUGUAGGCACCGCCUGCGCCUCUGCAGACCCGCCCUCCGCGCCUUCCUGGCCUCCGCUCCCAGGCCGCGCUCCUGCAGCUUGGGCUGGAUGCUUCUCGCAGGCCCGCUCCGCUGCAGGUGGGUUAGCCCGAGCCAGACAGGGCUCCAGCCAGUCCUGCUCAGGAGUCCAGACUUGGUCCUGAGGGCAGCUGGGAGCCAUUGGCAGACGGGGGCAGGUGUGCGACAGGAUUAGGGCUGUACUGUGGAAAGCUGUCUCUGGAAAGAGUGCAGACUCUAUUGGCUUACGUUUGGCAAAAUCGGAGGAGGGUAGAGAAUAAGAAUGAAGACUAACACAGUACC
This is a non-coding RNA of Microcebus murinus (gray mouse lemur), 1228 nucleotides long. NCBI's taxonomy places the organism in Eukaryota, Metazoa, Chordata, Mammalia, Primates, Cheirogaleidae. The record is from RefSeq and is a predicted model, not a curated record.